Molecule: ribosomal RNA, 440 nt
Filed under: uncultured bacterium
Lineage: Bacteria
Description: partial 16S ribosomal RNA
Rfam family: Bacterial small subunit ribosomal RNA
Source: RNAcentral
CCUACGGGAGGCAGCAGUAGGGAAUAUUGCUCAAUGGGGGAAACCCUGAAGCAGCAACGCCGCGUGGAGGAUGAAGGUUUUCGGAUUGUAAACUCCUUUUGUUAGAGAAGAUAAUGACGGUACCUAUCGAAUACUCACCGGCUCACUCCGUUCCAGCAGCGGCGGUACCACGGCGGGUGCAAGCGUUACUCGGAAUCCCUGGGCGUAAAGAGCGCGUAGGCGGGAUAGCAAGUCAGGUGUGAAAUCCUAUGGCUUAACCAUAGAACUGCAGUUGAAACUGUUAGUCUAGAGUAUGGGAGAGGUAGGUGGAAUUCUUGGUGUAGGGGUAAAAUCCGUAGAGAUCAAGAGGAAUACUCAUUGCGAAGGCGACCUGCUAGAACGUAACUGACGCUGAUGCGCGAAAGCGUGGGGAGCAAACAGGAUUAGAUACCCCUGUAGUC